GGUCAAUGAAGAGGUGGAGAGGGCACGGAAGGUUGGACACAUAGACUUCAUCCUAGGUCCUGGAGAUAAAAGCCUGGCUCCCAGGCAGAAGUGGCUGGAGCAGUUUCUGUGGGUGAGGAGUAUGCAUGCCUCAGGCACGGGCUGCUCUCAGAACACAAGGAUCCUACCAGAGCAGAUGGCAAGACGCAGAGUGAGAAAUGGGACAAACAGGGGUGUCACCAAAGACACGGACCAAAGAAGCAGGUCAGAGAAUUUGCCCUGUCUGGGGCUGGAGAGAUGGCUCAGCGGUUAAGAGCACUGACUGCUCUUCCAGAGGUUCAAAUCCCAGCAACCACAUGGUGGCCCACAACCAUCUGUAAUGAAAUGAGAUCUGAUGCCCUCUUCUGGUGUGUCUGAAGACAGCUACAGUGUACUCACAUAAAAUAAAGUCUUAAAAAAAAGAUUUGCCUUGUCUGAGUUUCUCUUUA
Non-coding RNA from Rattus norvegicus (Norway rat), 467 nucleotides. Lineage: Eukaryota; Metazoa; Chordata; Mammalia; Rodentia; Muridae. The record is from RefSeq and is a predicted model, not a curated record.